GUUGUUACAUUUUUGCUGAUAAGCUCUUUCUUUUCUUUUCUCUUUAAUAAUAGUUCUAGGUUUUUGCUAGUUCUAGGUUUGAUUUCCAAAUGAUUGUUCACCGUGAUCUCAGCCAGAGGUAACUAGCUCCUAAAUAUUUGGUCUAAAUAUUUGCUGCUCAGAUAUUCACACUACACCAAAUAUUGCUUCAGAAUGGGGCUCACCUAAGUAUGCAACUCCUUAUAUGAGUGGGUGUCCUCAUGUGUUAUGCAGUUUUGUGAGGUGAAUCCCGUCAAAACUGGUNCUACUCUAUAACAAUGUUUAGCCACACCCUUCUUGAGAAGUUAAUUUCACAUUUUUAUGCACAAUUAUUGCUUACCGGUUUGUCUUCUCUGAUACUGCAGCACUCGGGUUUUUGCUUUUUGCUUUAGAUUUUUUUAGGUUCUGAUUUGUUCUAUGAAGAAUUGUGUAGGUUAUUUAGUUUUCAAUUUUUCAGAUGUCUUAGGAUCCCUUUAGAUAGUUUUUUUAGGAUUCUUUUAGAUUGUUUCUGUAAAUAGAACUAAUUGUAGUUCUCUUUCAAUUCUUUGAUUUUGUUUCUCUGUUUAGNUUUUCUUUUAUUAGAUUCAUUCUGAUUAGUAAUUGUCCUAGGUGCUUUUAGAUUCUAGCUUCUUUUUAGCUUUUUAAAUAGAAAUUUCUUUAGGUUCUUUCCUUUCUAGGUUUUGUUGAAAUUUCCAUUAGAAGUAAUUAGGUUUCCAUUAGGAAGUAAUUAGGUUUAUUUCGUUCAUAGCUUUA
This 771-nucleotide long non-coding RNA is filed under the name Vigna radiata. RNAcentral describes it as "long non-coding RNA (VRAD_LNC017483)". Lineage: Eukaryota; Viridiplantae; Streptophyta; Magnoliopsida; Fabales; Fabaceae. The record is from RNAcentral.